UACGAGGGGGGCAAGCGUUGUUCGGAAUUAUUGGGCGUAAAGGGCGCGUAGGCGGUGCGGUAAGUCUGAUGUGAAAUCUCCGGGCUCAACUCGGAGUCUGCAUCAGAAACUGCCGUGCUGGAGUGUGGGAGAGGUGCGUGGAAUUCCCGGUGUAGCGGUGAAAUGCGUAGAGAUCGGAAAGAACACCAACGGCGAAAGCACUCUGCUGGGCCGACACUGACACUGAGAGACGAAAGCUAGGGGAGCGAAUGGG
RNAcentral lists this ribosomal RNA (253 nucleotides) under uncultured bacterium. RNAcentral describes it as "partial 16S ribosomal RNA". It matches the Rfam family "Bacterial small subunit ribosomal RNA", at positions 524 to 776 of the family's 1533-position model. The record is from RNAcentral.